This 492-nucleotide ribosomal RNA is filed under the name uncultured bacterium. Its description in RNAcentral is "partial 16S ribosomal RNA". It matches the Rfam family "Bacterial small subunit ribosomal RNA", at positions 29 to 507 of the family's 1533-position model. The record is from RNAcentral.
AGUGAACGCUGGCGGUAGGCCUAACACAUGCAAGUCGAACGGCAGCACAUUAAUAUCUUGCUCUUACUGGUUGCGAGUUGCGGACGUGUUAGGUAUACAUCGGAUUCUACUUUUUCUUGGGGGAUUACGUAGGGAAACUUACGCUAAUACCUCAUACGACCUACUGGUUUAAUCAGUGGUUCUUCGCACCUUUCGCGUUUUAAUGAGCCGAUGUCGGUUUAGUUAGUUGGUGGGGUAAUGGCCCACCAAGGCGACGAUCCGUAGCUUGUAUGUGAGGAUGAUCAGCCAAACGAGAACUGAGACACGGUCAAGAGUCCUACGGGAGGCAGCAGUGGGGAAUAUUGGACAAUGGGCGCAAGCCUGAUCCAGCCAUACCGCGUGGGUGAAGAAGGCGUUCGGGUUGUAAAGCCCUUUUGUUGGGAAAGAAAAGCAGCAGGUUAAUACCCCGCUGUUCUGACGGUACCCAAAGAAUAAGCACCGGCUAACUUCGUG